RNAcentral lists this unclassified non-coding RNA (258 nucleotides) under uncultured fungus. RNAcentral's name for it is "partial contains 5.8S ribosomal RNA, internal transcribed spacer 2, and large subunit ribosomal RNA". Lineage: Eukaryota; Fungi. The record is from RNAcentral.
AACGCACAUUGCGCCCCUUGGCAUUCCGGGGGGCAUGCCCGUUCGAGCGUCAUGUAAAAACCUCAAGCCUGGCUUGGUAUUGGGCCCCGGGACCAACCCGGACCUCAAAUGCGUCGGCUAUUGGGAGUGCUGUAGCAGGUGCCGUAACCACACUUACUGGCGCGCGGCUCGCACGGCCCGCCUUACGCGUUCGCAUCGGUCGUCGACCGAACACACAAGUUUGACCUCGGAUCGGGUAGGAAUACCCGCUGAACUUAA